ACUAGCAUUAGCAAUGAAGCUAAAUAAAGUUAGCACAUGGUUAAAGUUUGCCUUUGUAUGCUCAGUUGUCGCUCUCAGCAAGUUAGGUUUAACCAUCAACUAUAAUAUUUACUCAGAAUGCCAGGAUCCACAAUGAAAACUUGCAUAUCUUGCAAGCAACACGUCUGUCUUUGUGGGGCACAGCAGCCCAUGAAAAAAAAAAUCAUCAAGGCAAAGAACAAGGCUACGAAGGAAUGGGGAGAGGAGCUGAAGAAAGGGGGCAAUAUUGCCAAACUUUUUGAUGCUGCACGGAUUCUGACCCUGCACCUGCACCCUCUCCCUCCUCCUCACUUGGACUUCCACGACCCUCUGCUUCAUCCCAGCCCCCCAUGACCAAGCCUCUACCCCUAAGCUGUGCUCGACACGAAAGCAAACAGACCCUGUGCCUGCACCCAGUAUUGUGUCCCAGACCCCUCCUGAACCAACUCCCCUGCCCUCUGCUUCGCCCCAUCCCCCUAAGCUGUGCUCUGCACUCAAGCAAAUAGGCUGUGUCCUAGGCAUCUUCUUUAUUUGCCCCUCACCUCCCCAGGUCGUAGUAACAGACCCAAUCCAGUCAACCUAGCAGGGAAUGCUGGAGGUCAAAGUGAAGUGGGUGCCAUGCCCUCAGUGCCACCUGAGAUGGGCCGAUUGGUGGGUGAAACAAGAUGACCUCACUUAGAUGUCAAAGACUUUCCUUUAAUGUGUUCUUCAUUUUGUAAUGUUCUGGUUUGUUCUUGCCAUUAAAGUUGUGCUGCUGCAGGCUCAUC
Acanthopagrus latus (yellowfin seabream) is the source of this 785-nucleotide long non-coding RNA. RefSeq lists it as uncharacterized. The record is from RefSeq and is a predicted model, not a curated record. Lineage: Eukaryota; Metazoa; Chordata; Actinopteri; Spariformes; Sparidae. The transcript has 7 exons.